UGCCCGAUGGUGUAACGGUAGCACAACUGAUUCCGGUUCAGUUUGUCUAGGUUCGAAUCCUGGUCGGGCAGCCA
This 74-nucleotide transfer RNA is filed under the name Lentisphaeria bacterium. RNAcentral's name for it is "tRNA-Arg". It matches the Rfam family "tRNA". Rfam says of the family: Transfer RNA (tRNA) molecules are approximately 80 nucleotides in length. Their secondary structure includes four short double-helical elements and three loops (D, anti-codon, and T loops). The record is from RNAcentral. Lineage: Bacteria; Pseudomonadati; Lentisphaerota; Lentisphaeria.